Molecule: ribosomal RNA, 350 nt
Filed under: uncultured bacterium
Lineage: Bacteria
Description: bacterial SSU rRNA
Rfam family: Bacterial small subunit ribosomal RNA
Source: RNAcentral
GAGAAUCUUCCACAAUGGGCGAAAGCCUGAUGGAGCGACGCCGCGUGAAGGAUGAAGUCCCUCGGGACGUAAACUUCUUUUGUAGAGGAAGAAACCGGUUGACCGGUGUGACUGUACUCUAAGAAUAAGGGGUUGCUAAACUCGUGCCAGCAGCAGCGGUAAUACGAGUACCCCAAGCGUUAUCCGGAAUUACUGGGCAUAAAGGGUGCGUAGGCGGUCUUAGUUAGUCUUCUGUGAAAACUCCCGGCUUAACCGGGAAGACGCGGGAGAUACGGCUAGACUAGAGAGUGUGAGAGGUCUGUGGAACUCAUGGUGUAGGGGUGAAAUCCGUUGAUAUCAUGGGGAACGCC